Molecule: non-coding RNA, 406 nt
Organism: Erythranthe guttata (spotted monkey flower)
Lineage: Eukaryota; Viridiplantae; Streptophyta; Magnoliopsida; Lamiales; Phrymaceae
Source: RefSeq, a predicted model, not a curated record
UAAAGAUAAAAGGGCUGCUAUAAAUAAUAAAUCAAACCCUAGGGUUUUAUCAUUGCCAGUAGUAUUCAGCACAAACUUUACCAUCUAGGGUUCUGAAAGGCGCGGAGACAUUCGGAGUUUCUCUUUCUUCUGAACAAUGAGGGCUAAGUGGAAGAAGAAGCGUAUGAGGAGAUUGAAGAGGAAGCGCCGAAAGAUGAGGCAGAGAUCUAAGUAAUCUCCUUUUUUUUUUCAGUUUGGCGUUUCUAGCUUUUCCUUUUUUAUUUAUUUAUUUAUAUCUAUGCUGCUUUCGAUUUCGUGAAUUUUGAUAUGUAGCACUACUUUGUUAUAUUUCAGAACUACAUUUUGUGGAUGAACUAUUUAAUCAGUUGAAUUUAUUGUCAUUAUUGAGUUUAACUUUUGUUCCUUA